This 17-nucleotide ribosomal RNA is filed under the name Cortinarius davemallochii. Its description in RNAcentral is "partial 28S ribosomal RNA". The record is from RNAcentral. Lineage: Eukaryota; Fungi; Basidiomycota; Agaricomycetes; Agaricales; Cortinariaceae.
CGUGACCUCAAAUCAGG